CUGAGUAUGAAGGUUGCAUGUUUUGCCUAGGUUUUCAAUUAAAUUGGCCAUGAUUACCUUUUCUAAAAUUGAUCCUAGUUAAUAAUCUUAUUGUAUGAGGUUAAAUAACUAACUAGGGUCAGAUUUGACCAAACAAAUGAGAACCAAGGUUAAAAAUCCUUAGGUCAGAGUUGAUAAUCUUAUUGUAUGAGGUUAAAUAACUAACUAGGGUCAGAUUUGAUUAAACAAAUGAGAUCCAAGGAUAAAAAUCCUUAGGUCAGUAAUUAGGAAAAGAGAUAGGGGUAUUAAGGGUAUUUGAAUAUAGGGAAUCUUGUAACAAACUCCUAGAACAUUCUAGUGAGGGGAUUAAGUAUAAUUUCUGCCUCAAACACAAGUCAGAAAAUCAAGGACUAUUUAGGCAAAACUGAAAAUUGGAUAAGGGACUAAAAGGAAAACAAAUGAAUUGAUGUUUCCGUGAGGCUUCAAUUAUAAAAGAAAACAAUCUAAUCAUUUCAAG
This 496-nucleotide long non-coding RNA is filed under the name Nicotiana benthamiana. Its description in RNAcentral is "long non-coding RNA (NBEN_LNC015852)". Lineage: Eukaryota; Viridiplantae; Streptophyta; Magnoliopsida; Solanales; Solanaceae. The record is from RNAcentral.